RNAcentral lists this transfer RNA (72 nucleotides) under Bos taurus (domestic cattle). It matches the Rfam family "tRNA". From Rfam's summary of the family: Transfer RNA (tRNA) molecules are approximately 80 nucleotides in length. Their secondary structure includes four short double-helical elements and three loops (D, anti-codon, and T loops). RNAcentral also lists the same sequence under 5 other names. The record is from Rfam by way of RNAcentral. Lineage: Eukaryota; Metazoa; Chordata; Mammalia; Artiodactyla; Bovidae.
UCCCUAGUGGCUCAGAUGGUAAAGCAUCUGUCUGCAAUACAGGAGACCCGGGUUUGAUCCCUGGGUUGGGAA